This 423-nucleotide ribosomal RNA is filed under the name uncultured bacterium. Its description in RNAcentral is "bacterial SSU rRNA". It matches the Rfam family "Bacterial small subunit ribosomal RNA", at positions 362 to 776 of the family's 1533-position model. The record is from RNAcentral.
UCUUCCGCAAUGGACGAAAGUCUGACGGAGCAACGCCGCGUGAGUGAUGAAGGCUUUCGGGUCGUAAAACUCUGUUGUUAGGGAAGAACAAGUGCUAGUUGAGUAUGCUGGUACUUUGACGGUACCUAACCAGAAAGCCACGGCUAACUACGCGCUCGCAUCCGCGGUAAUACGUAGGUGGCAAGCGUUAUCCGGAAUUAUUGGGCGUAAAGCGCGCGCAGGUGGUUUCUUAAGUCUGAUGUGAAAGCCCACGGCUCAACCGUGGAGGGUCAUUGGAAACUGGGAGACUUGAGUGCAGAAGAGGAAAGUGGAAUUCCAUGUGUAGCGGUGAAAUGCGUAGAGAUAUGGAGGAACACCAGUGGCGAAGGCGACUUUCUGGUCUGUAACUGACACUGAGGCGCGAAAGCGUGGGGAGCAAACAGG